AAUAGAUACCCAGGUAGUCCAUGCCGUAAACGUUGGGCACUAGGUGUGGGGGACAUUCCACGUUCUCCGCGCCGUAGCUAACGCAUUAAGUGCCCCGCCUGGGGAGUACGGUCGCAAGGCUAAAACUCAAAGGAAUUGACGGGGGCCCGCACAAGCGGCGGAGCAUGCGGAUUAAUUCGAUGCAACGCGAAGAACCUUACCAAGGCUUGACAUACACUGGACCGUUCUGGAAACAGUUCUUCUCUUUGGAGCUGGUGUACAGGUGGUGCAUGGUUGUCGUCAGCUCGUGUCGUGAGAUGUUGGGUUAAGUCCCGCAACGAGCGCAACCCUCGUUCUAUGUUGCCAGCACGUGAUGGUGGGAACUCAUAGGAGACUGGCCGGGGUCAACUCGGAGGAAGGUGGGGAUGACGUCAAAUCAUCAUGCCCUUUAUGUCUUGGGCUUCACGCAUGCUACAAUGGCUGGUACAGAGAGAGGCGAACCCGUGAGGUAAGCGAAUCCCUUAAAGCCAGUCUCAGUUCGGAUCGUAGU
Molecule: ribosomal RNA, 529 nt
Filed under: uncultured bacterium
Lineage: Bacteria
Description: bacterial SSU rRNA
Rfam family: Bacterial small subunit ribosomal RNA
Source: RNAcentral